This 808-nucleotide long non-coding RNA is filed under the name Homo sapiens (human). RNAcentral describes it as "non-protein coding lnc-SFXN5-1:6". The record is from RNAcentral. Lineage: Eukaryota; Metazoa; Chordata; Mammalia; Primates; Hominidae.
GAUUUGAGGGAAAUGUCUGAUUAGUAGACAGGCCCCAGAAGCUGUGAGGGGCACUCGCACGCGACCAAGGCACCUGUUUCCAAGCAGCUUGCUCAGGAUCUGGCAUACCCCAGUGCCAAUAUCUGCAAUGUGGUCCUGAUGCGGUACGGGGAGCUGGAGGAAGGGAUUGAUGUCCUGGACAGCGAUGGCAACCUCGUGGGCUCCUCCAAGAUCGCAGCCCGACACGCCCUGCUGGAGACGGCGCUGACGCGAGUGGUCCUGCCCAUGCCCAUCCUGGUGCUACCCCCGAUCGUCAUGUCCAUGCUGGAGAAAUUGAAACAUCCCAAUUAGAGCCGGAGAUAGCCCAGGCCACGAGCAGCCGGACAGUGGUGUACAACAAGGGGUUGUGAGUGUGGUCAGCGGCCUGGGGACGGAGCACUGUGCAGCCGGGGAGCUGAGGGGCAGGGCCGUAGACUCACGGCUGCACCUGCAGGGAGCAGCACGCCAACCCCAGCAGUCCUGGGCCCCCUGGGAGAGUGCUCAACCUACAGUGGAGGGAGACUGACCCAUUCACAUUUUAACAUAGGCAAGAGGAGUUCUAACACAUUUCGUACAAAAAAAUAAUCAAGUGCAUUUCUGGGCCUUAUGUGGGGUUGUCAAAACUCCACUCAGCACAAUUAUGUGUGAAGCUGAAAAAUUGUAGAGUGCCCAUGGGGUAGAAGUAGAAUCCUUUUAUACUUUGGUUCCUUUUUUAUUUUUAUUUUUUAUCAGAAUCAAAUCUGAGCCUUAGUUUCAGCUGACCAGAAGUGGCAGGAGGACAGGUGGAGGC